GAUGAACGCUGGCGGCGUGCCUAAUACAUGCAAGUCGAGCGAACAGACGAGGAGCUUGCUCCUCUGACGUUAGCGGCGGACGGGUGAGUAACACGUGGAUAACCUACCUAUAAGACUGGGAUAACUUCGGGAAACCGGAGCUAAUACCGGAUAACAUGUUGAACCGCAUGGUUCAACAGUGAAAGACGGUCUUGCUGUCACUUAUAGAUGGAUCCGCGCCGCAUUAGCUAGUUGGUAAGGUAACGGCUUACCAAGGCAACGAUGCGUAGGCGACCUGAGAGGGUCAUCGGCCACACUGGAACUGAGACACGGUCCAGACUCCUACGGGAGGCAGCAGUAGGGAAUCUUCCGCAAUGGACGAAAGCCUGACGGAGCAACGCCGCGUGAGUGAAGAAGGUCUUCGGAUCGUAAAACUCUGUUAUUAGGGAAGAACAAAUGUGUAAGUAACUAUGCACGUCUUGACGGUACCUAAUCAGAAAGCCACGGCUAACUACGUG
This 497-nucleotide ribosomal RNA is filed under the name uncultured bacterium. RNAcentral describes it as "partial 16S ribosomal RNA". It matches the Rfam family "Bacterial small subunit ribosomal RNA", at positions 28 to 507 of the family's 1533-position model. The record is from RNAcentral.